Molecule: unclassified non-coding RNA, 254 nt
Filed under: uncultured organism
Description: partial contains 16S-23S ribosomal RNA intergenic spacer and 23S ribosomal RNA
Rfam family: Bacterial small subunit ribosomal RNA (bases 1-185)
Source: RNAcentral
UCCAGCAGCCGCGGUAAUACGUUCCCGGGCCUUGUACACACCGCCCGUCACACCACGAGAGUUUGUAACACCCGAAGUCGGUGGGGUAACCGCACUGGAGCCAGCCGCCUAAGGUGGGACAGAUGAUUGGGGUGAAGUCGUAACAAGGUAGCCGUAUCGGAAGGUGCGGCUGGAUCACCUCCUUUCUAAGGAUAAUAUGAAGUUUUAUUACUUCAUUAAAAUGACGUUUCUGACUUUGUUUAAUUUUGAGAGAG